RNAcentral lists this ribosomal RNA (126 nucleotides) under Lysinibacillus fusiformis. Its description in RNAcentral is "16S rRNA. Bacterial SSU". It matches the Rfam family "Bacterial small subunit ribosomal RNA", at positions 19 to 139 of the family's 1533-position model. RNAcentral also lists the same sequence under 1 other name. Lineage: Bacteria; Bacillati; Bacillota; Bacilli; Caryophanales; Bacillaceae. The record is from RNAcentral.
CUGGCUCAGGACGAACGCUGGCGGCGUGCCUAAUACAUGCAAGUCGAGCGAACAGAGAAGGAGCUUGCUCCUUCGACGUUAGCGGCGGACGGGUGAGUAACACGUGGGCAACCUACCUUAUAGUUU